Molecule: ribosomal RNA, 433 nt
Filed under: uncultured bacterium
Lineage: Bacteria
Description: partial 16S ribosomal RNA
Rfam family: Bacterial small subunit ribosomal RNA
Source: RNAcentral
AACGAACGCUGGCGGCAGGCCUAACACAUGCAAGUCGAGCGAGGACUUCGGUUCUAGCGGCGGACGGGUGAGUAACGCGUGGGAAUGUGCCCUUCUCUACGGAAUAGCCCUGGGAAACUGGGAGUAAUACCGUAUACGCCCUAUUGGGGAAAGAUUUAUCGGAGAAGGAUCAGCCCGCGUUGGAUUAGGUAGUUGGUGGGGUAAUGGCCUACCAAGCCGACGAUCCAUAGCUGGUUUGAGAGGAUGAUCAGCCACACUGGGACUGAGACACGGCCCAGACUCCUACGGGAGGCAGCAGUGGGGAAUCUUAGACAAUGGGGGCAACCCUGAUCUAGCCAUGCCGCGUGAGUGAUGAAGGCCUUAGGGUUGUAAAGCUCUUUCAGCUGGGAAGAUAAUGACGGUACCAGCAGAAGAAGCCCCGGCUAACCCCGUG